GCAAGUCGAACGUGAAGCUGGAUUUAUUCAGUGGAAAGUGGCGGACGAGCGAGUAACACGUAAGCAUCUGCCCCGUACUCAGGGAUAACAUCAUGAAAGUGGUGCUAAUACCGGAUGGUCCCGCAAGGGUAAAGAUUUAACGGUACGGGAGGAGCUUGCGGCUUAUCAGUUAGUUGGUGGGGUAAAGGCCUACCAAGACUAUGACGAGUAGCUGGUGUGAGAGCAUGACC
Molecule: ribosomal RNA, 230 nt
Filed under: uncultured bacterium
Lineage: Bacteria
Description: partial 16S ribosomal RNA
Rfam family: Bacterial small subunit ribosomal RNA
Source: RNAcentral